Molecule: long non-coding RNA, 3221 nt
Filed under: Olea europaea (common olive)
Lineage: Eukaryota; Viridiplantae; Streptophyta; Magnoliopsida; Lamiales; Oleaceae
Description: long non-coding RNA (OEUR_LNC005116)
Source: RNAcentral
UAUUUUUCAAUGUUCAGUUUGAACUCCAAUUUUUCAUUCAUCCGUUUAUCAUUUUUGACCAUUACACAUGUGAUUUCGAUACUCACAAAGGAUAACACAGAUCAACUUUGAUCUUUCAAAUGGAACCAAUGAAUUCCACAUAAAAUUGUGCCAAAAUUAAACUCCAAAGCCAUUUUUCUUACUCCAUGACAGUGUGUUGGGUAUUGAAAUUCCGUUUGACAAAGUCAAUCUUAAUCUUGCUCAUUUAAGAAAAGUCGUGCAAGCCCUUAUUUUCAUAUGUAGUCGAUAUGGAAUUUAUCCGUUACCAGGGUGGAGUUGAUGCAUUUUUCGUGUAUUUUCAAGGUCAACUAGUAUGCCUAUCAAAUUAGGUUGAAUUGCCAUGCUAAGCAUGUUUUGUGGUGAACGUGCCCAUUCACUCCACUAUAUAUAUAUAUAUAUUUUUUUUUUUUAAAUUUAUUUUAUUUUAUUUUAUUUUAUUUUUUUAUUUUUUUAACUAAGAGAUCAAAUCCACUCAAAAUGUAGUAGGCUCAAAAUGCAUUCCAUUACAGCAAAACAGUUGAAUUUGAAUCCAUCCAAACUCAAAUCUCUUUAUACCAUUUUUUCUCACCAACUCCAACGUUUGUGUCUACACAACCAUUUCUUGAAUGCAUGCUCAAUUUCUUGAUAUCUUCGGAUGUGUUCGGUGCAAGUACCUUUUUUCUCUCGCUAAACCUGUCCAAUAUUGUCUAAUCCAGCCUACCAAACAUGCCCUCAAUUUUCGACCUGGAGGGGCGCAGUCCAUGUACUUUCAGAUUCCAUGGGUUCAAUGAUGACGACUCCACCAUCCGAUAACCCUAAGGCAAACUGGUUUGCCUUUUGUGGAUGAGCGGCAACCACCAGUGGAUAUACACGAGUUCUGCAUCCACCAUAACAAAAAUCAAAUUAAGCACCCUUGACAUGAGUGAAUGUCACACACACACAAAGUUGGAUCACUGAUGCUGAAGAACAUGAAUUCUGCCAGAAUUUAUGACAAAUUGGCGAAGUAAAUUACACUUUUUGCUCGUUGUCAAGAAAGGUAAAAAUGCAGUUAAGCUCCAUUUCGUUUUAGAUUUAUAAAAAAUAAAAUUCAGGAAAAUAUGUAUUGGUAUAGAAGGAUUUUGUCCAGACUUUCCAUCCCCUUUAACAGAACUAGAUAGUCCUUUUGUCCGAAAUUGCCAAAACUAAUUAAUUUUCUUGAGACAUUUUUGUCAGCGAGACUUUACUAUGGACACGUGCAGUUUUGCAAACAUUGACUGGAGAAAGAGAUGUGACUAAAAACCAUGAAUAAUGCAACUAAAUCAUUGAUACAGAAUUGAUUUUUUUAUAAAUUGUUGGUUGGGUCAAACGGAUUCAACUAUCAAGUACCUGAUAUGCUGUGGAAGGUAAGCAGAGGGAUCAAUCUCAAAUCUUGGAACGAGAUCUGAAGCACCGAGUAUCAGAACAAUUCCAUCCCUCAUGACAGUGUAUAACAAUUCAGCAUCACAAGAAAAUGCAGCAUGGGCAAUCCGUGCACAGAAGUUUCCAACGACCCACUGAAAUUAUAGCAUACGUAAAUUGUAAAGUCACGUGUAUGACAGCAUCGAAGCACUUCUCUUCUAAACGUGUCAAAGAGAGGAAGAGACCUGCUUAACACACUGUAGUUUUGUUGUUUCGUAUAUUGCAAGUUGAGUCUCAUGUACAGCAAGAAAGUGUCUUUCAUCCUUGUCAAAUUGGACAUGAGUCUCCGAUAGUUCUGAAGGUAACCAACCGGAGGAAAUCUCUAAAAAUGUGUUGUUCUUUUUCUCCCACGUGAUUGAAUCCCAUACAACAAUCUGCAGAAUAAUGGAGGAAAAAUAGAUUAUUUAAAUAUGUUUACGACAACAAUCUUAAAGUUGGCAACCUCGAAAAAGUCGAUCAAUUGUAUCUCUCUACGUCAAGAUUGAUUUUAUUUUCAAACUUGGAAAAUGUAGUAUUCAUAGAACUGUAUGGUAUAAUAAACAAGAUUUUAGUUUCUUUUUUCUUAGUUCAUACAAUCUAGUACUAUACAAUUCUCCCUACCAAGCAAGCCAAUAGCGUCUAAAUAAUAUAUAUUUGACAACCUGAGUUCAUUUAAGCUGGUAAAUAAAUUAUUAUACUUGAAAACAUUUAUUGAUUCACAUUCAAAGGAGGAAUCUGGCUGUCCUUCUGCACGAUCAACCAAUAGAAUAUAUAGAAUACCAACCUGAGCAUCCAAUCCAGAAGAGACAAGUACAUUUAACACGGUUGAGAAAGAAAGGCUGCUAAUUCUCUUAGAAUGGCCCUUAAGCUUAUUUGUCAACUGCAAAAUGAAGGCAAUGGCUAAAUGCUGCACAUUUCUUCUUAAUCUUUCUAACUCUAAUAUAAGUGAAUGUUGGACACAUAUAUCAUACCUCGUCCACACGGACAUUAUAGAUGAGAAUUGUUGAAUCAUCCAUACCAAUAGCGAUUAUGUUGUUAUCAGGCGGAUAGAAAACAAUACAUGUUGCUGCAGGUGGGGAUUGCAUGAAACUUCUCAUUCUCUACAGUAAUCGAGCAAAUUGGAAAUGGUAGGUUAGUUAUUUCUAUAUGUCGAGCAUCCUAAAGUUCAAUGAUAUGAGAGCUCUAAGUUAGGUGCUACCCUGUGAAUUGAACAUAGAACAUUUUGCCAAUCUUUCACAAGCAUCCAAAGCAGCUACAACUUUUAGUAUUACCUUAAAAAUCAACAUGUUGAACAAAGAAACCAUCUUUCCAGAUGCUGAGACAACAUAAGAAUCAUUCUUGGACAAACAAAAGCACGGUGAGACUAAGUCGAUGUUACUUUCGGGAAGGUCAUUGAUCAUCAGCAACCCACUCUUUGGUUGCCACAGUUGAGGGACACACUUUGUAGUUGCCUGUUGCAGCAAAUACUCAGUUACUCUUUAAACAAUGACUGGCUGAUCAAAUCGAAGAUACAUAUAUACAAGCACUUGCAUAGGUGCAGAGAGAGAGAGAGAGAGAGAGAGGCUCAAAAUGCAUUCCAUUACAGCAAAACAGUUGAAUUUGAAUCUAUCCAAACUCAAAUCUCUUUAUACCAUUUUUUCUCACCAACUCCAACGUUUGUGUCUACACAACCAGUUCUUGAAUGCAUGCUCAAUUUCUUGAUAUCUUCAGACGUGUUCGGUGCAAGUACCUUUUUUCUCUCGCUAAACCUGUCCAAUAUUGUCUAAUCCAGCCUACCAAACAUGCCC